RNAcentral lists this ribosomal RNA (456 nucleotides) under Chryseobacterium sp. AE103. RNAcentral's name for it is "bacterial SSU rRNA". It matches the Rfam family "Bacterial small subunit ribosomal RNA", at positions 28 to 484 of the family's 1533-position model. The record is from RNAcentral. Lineage: Bacteria; Pseudomonadati; Bacteroidota; Flavobacteriia; Flavobacteriales; Weeksellaceae.
GAUGAACGCUAGCGGGAGGCCUAACACAUGCAAGCCGAGCGGUAGAAGAUCUUCGGAUCUUUGAGAGCGGCGCACGGGUGCGGAACACGUGUGCAACCUGCCUUUAUCAGGGGGAUAGCCUUUCGAAAGGAAGAUUAAUACCCCAUAAUAUAUUGAGUGGCAUCACUUGAUAUUGAAAACUCCGGUGGAUAAAGAUGGGCACGCGCAGGAUUAGAUAGUUGGUAGGGUAACGGCCUACCAAGUCAACGAUCCUUAGGGGGCCUGAGAGGGUGAUCCCCCACACUGGUACUGAGACACGGACCAGACUCCUACGGGAGGCAGCAGUGAGGAAUAUUGGACAAUGGGUGAGAGCCUGAUCCAGCCAUCCCGCGUGAAGGACGACGGCCCUAUGGGUUGUAAACUUCUUUUGUAUAGGGAUAAACCUACUCUCGUGAGAGUAGCUGAAGGUACUAUACG